AGUGAACGCUGGCGGUAGGCCUAACACAUGCAAGUCGAACGGCAGCACAGGAGAGCUUGCUCUCUGGGUGGCGAGUGGCGGACGGGUGAGGAAUACAUCGGAAUCUACUAUGUCUGGGGGGAUAACGUAGGGAAACUUACGCUAAUACCGCAUACGACCUACGGGUGAAAGCAGGGGACCGUCGGGCCUUGCGCGAUUGAAUGAGCCGAUUACGGAUUAGCUAGUUGGCGGGGUAAAGGCCCACCAGGGCGACGAUCCGUAGCUGGUCUGAGAGGGAGAUCAGCCACACUGGAACUGAGACACGGUCCAGACUCCUACGGGAGGCAGCAGUGGGAAAUAUUGGACAAUGGGCGCAAACCUGAUCCAGCCAUACCGCGUGGGUGAAGAAGGCCUUAGGGUUGUAAAGCCCUUUUGUUGGGAAAGAAAUCCAGCUGGCUAAUACCCGGUUGGGAUGACGGUACCCAAAGAAUAAGCACCGGCUAACUUCGUGCCAGCAGCCGCCGUAA
This 506-nucleotide ribosomal RNA is filed under the name uncultured bacterium. RNAcentral's name for it is "partial 16S ribosomal RNA". It matches the Rfam family "Bacterial small subunit ribosomal RNA", at positions 29 to 523 of the family's 1533-position model. The record is from RNAcentral.